This 382-nucleotide ribosomal RNA is filed under the name uncultured eukaryote. RNAcentral describes it as "partial 18S ribosomal RNA". It matches the Rfam family "Eukaryotic small subunit ribosomal RNA", at positions 592 to 976 of the family's 1831-position model. The record is from RNAcentral.
UGUAAGCGUAUACCAAAGUUGUUGCAGUUAAAACGCUCGUAGUCGGAAUUUGGCAGUUCCGGAUGUGUGCACGUCGUGUGCGCACUUCGCGGGGAUUGCUUUUGUGGUCUUGCGUAGGAUGAGGCACUUUUAUUAGUGAACGUCCUCACGCAACCACUUUUUACUGUGAGAAAAUCAGAGUGCUCAAAGCAGGCAUUUGCCGUGAAUGUAUUAGCAUGGAAUAAUAGAAUAGGACUUGGUUCUAUUUUGUUGGUUUGUUGGGACUGAGUAAUGAUUAAGAGGGACAGUUGGGGGCAUUUGUAUUUCGGUGCUAGAGGUGAAAUUCUUGGAUUUAUGAAAGACGAACUUCUGCGAAAGCAUUUGUCAAGGAUGUUUUCAUUAA